GGAGCAUGGCCCAGGAGGAGGGUGGGAGCCUGCCCGAGGUGCGGGCGCGGGUCAGGGCCGCGCAUGGCAUCCCCGACCUGGCCCAAAAGCUCCAUUUCUAUGACCGCUGGGCUCCGGACUACGACCAGGAUGUGGCCACCCUGCUGUACCGUGCGCCCCGCCUCGCAGUGGACUGCCUCACACAAGCCCUUCCAGGCCCGCCCCACAGUGCCCUGAUCCUGGACGUGGCCUGUGGCACAGGCCUAGUGGCUGCCGAGGGACCUUCGACGCGGUGCUGAUAGUCGGUGCCCUCAGUGACGGCCAGGUGCCCUGCAAUGCGAUACCUGAGCUACAUGUCACCAAGCCAGGUGGGCUGGUGUGUCUGACCACCAGGACCAACUCGUCCAACCUUCAAUACAAGGAGGCUCUGGAGGCCACCCUGGACAGGCUGGAGCAGGCUGGGAUGUGGGAAGGCCUGGUGGCCUGGCCUGUGGACCGCCUGUGGACCGCUGGGAGCUGGCUACCUCCGAGCUGGAGGUGGUAUCCGGCAUCUCUGCCAAGGAUGGCUUCAUCUCCGGCAUUGUCUACCUGUACCGAAAGUGGAAGGCGACCCAGGUUGAGGAAGUGAGAUCCAGCCCCCAGCCCCCAGCUGGCCCCUGACUCCAUGUGGCCUUAGCUGGGCCCAUCUGCUGGGCCUCCUCUGCCUCCCCUGUAAAAUGGGACCUCCGAACCAACCCUGCCCCUCAGAAAUGCCCUGCCUAUUAAAUGAGCUCCCAGAAAACAGUGGCAUCUGUUCCUGUGGGUUCCAGAAUCGAGACGUAGCAGGGUGUGGUGGCUCACACCUGUAAUCCCAACAAUUUGGAAGGCCAAGGCAGGAGGAUCUCUUGAGACCACGAGUUCAAAACCAGCCUGGGCAACAUAGUGAGACCCCUAUCUUAAAGAAAAAUUGUAAAAAUUAACACUUUGGGAGGCCGAGGCGGGAGGAUCACUUGAGGUCUGGAGUUCGAGACCAGCCUGGCCAACAUGGCGAAACCCUGUCUCUACUAAAAAUACAAAAAUUAGCUGGGCAUGGUAGCACACCCCUGUAAUCCCAGCUAGUUGCGAGGCUGAGGCAGGAGAAUUGCAUGAGCCCAGGAGGCGGAGGUUGCAGUGAGCUGAGAUGGUGCCACUGGGUGACAGAGCGAGACUCUGUCUC
This 1174-nucleotide long non-coding RNA is filed under the name Homo sapiens (human). Its description in RNAcentral is "long non-coding RNA NONHSAT213612.1". The record is from RNAcentral. Lineage: Eukaryota; Metazoa; Chordata; Mammalia; Primates; Hominidae.